CCUACGGGUGGCAGCAGUGAGGAAUAUUGGUCAAUGGACGAGAGUCUGAACCAGCCACGUCGCGUGAGUGAUGACUGCCCUAGGGAUUGUAAGCUUCUUUUAUAAGGGAAUAAAACGAGGCACGUGUGCCUUUUUGCAUGUACUUUAUGAAUAAGGAUCGGCUAACUCCGUUCCAGCAGCCGCGGUAAUACGGAGGAUGCGAGCGUUAUCCGGAUUGAUUGGGUUUAAAGGGAGCGUAGAAGGGUGGUGAAGUCAGUUGUGAAAGUUUGGGGCUCAACCCUAAAAUUGCAAUUGAUACUGGCAGUCUUGAGUACAGUUGAGGUAGGCGGAAUUCGUGGUGUAGCGGUGAAAUGCUUAGAUAUUACGAAGAACCCCGAUUGCGAAGGCAGCUUACUAAACUGUGACUGACAUUGAGGCUCGAAAGUGUGGGUAUCAAACAGGAUUAGAUACCCCUGUAGUC
RNAcentral lists this ribosomal RNA (460 nucleotides) under uncultured bacterium. RNAcentral describes it as "partial 16S ribosomal RNA". It matches the Rfam family "Bacterial small subunit ribosomal RNA", at positions 338 to 795 of the family's 1533-position model. The record is from RNAcentral.